CUGUCGUGAUUGAUGCAGUGGUGCUCUGUCUUUCUGUAAACAAGAGGGUCACACCCCUCCUUACUUUACCACGUGUGUCUGUUGGUCUAGGCUGUUUGGUUCCAUCAAAGGUCCUAAACAGAUCUGAUUUUAACCCAAAAUGAAGCACUGCUGAUAAAUUCACCGGAGGUGAGACUGUUCAACCUCACUCAGGGCUGCACAUUAGAAAUGCACCUGGUUUAAACUGCACCUGUGCCUGACUUUAGAUGAGGAAGCAAGCUUUCCCUAACUCAGGUGAGUACAUUUAUGCAAUAUUCCCUUCUUCUAUAUUCUGCUUUAAGCGUGCUUCAGAAUGCUUUGGUGCUGUUGGCUCCCUUAGUUGAUUUCAGUGGUUUUCAGAGUAGGUGUUAUGGGGUCAUUCAAAAGUAGUCUGAAAUUUGUCUCGUUCUGCCUCAGCUCUCAAGCUAGAUUUAACUGAGAAUGAAGAUCUCUUCUCCUCUGAAGACUCCCUGAAUGUACAUAUGAGAGCUAGCUGCACGCUUCUGACGCCGUCACUUGAAGAGCUUGCAGUUUCUUCUGCAGGUACAAACAAAUCAGAAGUUUGUAGUUGCAGUGCCAUACCUGGAAUUCAUAGAGCAACAUCAGUGCUCAGGGUGAGGUUGAAAAGUGAUCCAGAAGAAUGUGCUGCCAGUCUGCAUUAAGGUGCUUCUAGCUACCUACAUAUUCAACAUAAGAUCUUCCCGUCCAGCUUUAGUUACAUUUCACCUUUGCUGAUAUCCAGCUGAAUUGUUCUUCUUGUGGCUUAUGUUUGUACAUAAGAACUCCCCUGAAUUUAAUCUGAGCAUAUUUUAACUGUCCUUUAAAAACAGAAAUAAAGUAAAAGCCUG
This is a long non-coding RNA of Anser brachyrhynchus (Pink-footed goose), 866 nucleotides long. Lineage: Eukaryota; Metazoa; Chordata; Aves; Anseriformes; Anatidae. The record is from Ensembl.